UCCGAUUCCUACAAACUUUGCUAAUCUCCUCUUACAUUCCUCAAAUCUUCUUAAAAUGGCACCAAAGGCUGAGAAAAAACCCGCAGAGAAAAAACCAGCUGCCGAAAAAGCCCCACCGCUGAGAAAUCAUCAAAGGCCGGCAAAAAGCUCCCGAAGGACGGCGCCGCUGCUGCCGGAGACAAGAAGAAGAAGAGGGGAAAGAAGUCAAUUGAGACUACAAGAUCUACAUUUUCAAGGUACUGAAACAAGUUCACCCUGAUAUCGGAAUUUCAAGCAAAGCUAUGGGUAUCAUGAACAGUUUCAUCAACGAUAUCUUCGAGAAACUUGCUCAGGAAUCUUCUAGAUUGGCCCGUUACAACAAGAAGCCUACGAUUACUUCUCGGGAGAUUCAGACUGCUGUGAGACUUGUACUUCCUGGUGAAUUGGCGAAGCGUGCUGUUUCUGAGGGUACUAAGGUUGUUACCAAAUUCACCAGCUCUUGAAAGUUGAUAGGUUUUUGUUAUUUUUUCCUUUUGGUUUCUGUUGCGUUUAUGAGUUCAAUUAGAGUUUGGUGAUGUAAAGAAGAACUUUUGGUGUAAUAUUUUACAGUUCUGCAUCUAUAGCAAAAUUGGAA
This is an RNA transcript of Nicotiana attenuata, 613 nucleotides long. It is a transcript of the gene named histone H2B-like, with no coding region annotated. The transcript has a single exon. The record is from RefSeq and is a predicted model, not a curated record. NCBI's taxonomy places the organism in Eukaryota, Viridiplantae, Streptophyta, Magnoliopsida, Solanales, Solanaceae.